AAGAUGGCGGACGAGCAGCUGCAGCAGCUCCGUGCGGUGCUACAGGGGGAGGGGAAGGUGGUUUCUCCUGACACAAGCUGGAGGCCGGAGCCUGUGGCACCCUGGCUUGCCUCACUGAAGCUGGUGGCUGUGACAGGGACUGCACGGCUGCUGGAGUGGUAGAAAGGCAGCCCAGGAAGCCAUCAUUCUGUAGAAGGCAGUGACGGAACAGUACCAGCAGAAAUUGAAGGACCAGCAGAAGGGAUCAUGGCCAAAGUUGCAGUGUCCCCCCGCUCGUUGAAGAUGAGGAGUUCUCAGAGAGCGGGAUGUUUGUGACAUUCCUCAUGUCAGCUCUCGAGUCCAUGUUUCUUUAUUUGUAGGCAUAGCUGCAUAAAGAAACCAGUUGGCCCACCAGCACCAGGGCUUCUCCACCCCUGACCACAUACCAGGAGAUAAGAUCCCCAACCAGCACAAACUCGAACAG
RNAcentral lists this long non-coding RNA (463 nucleotides) under Homo sapiens (human). RNAcentral describes it as "HSALNT0357476". The record is from RNAcentral. Lineage: Eukaryota; Metazoa; Chordata; Mammalia; Primates; Hominidae.